GACAGAGGUGGCGAGCGUUGUUCGGAAUUAUUGGGCUUAAAGCGUGUGCAGGCGGCGGCGUAAGUGUCGAGUGAAAGCCCGCAGCUCAACUGCGGAACGGCUCGGCAUACUGCGUCGCUUGAGGUCGGUAGAGGUGCUUGGAACUCUAGGUGGAGCGGUGAAAUGCGUAGAUAUCUAGAGGAACGCCUGAGGCGAAAGCGGAGCACUGGGCCGAUUCUGACGCUGAGACACGAAAGCGUGGGGAGCAAACAGGAUUAGAUACCCUGGUAGUCCACGCCGUAAACGAUGCACACUAGAUGACGGGUUCUCUGAUGUUCCCGCCGUCGUAGCAAAAGUGCUAAGUGUGCCGCCUGGGGAGUACGGCCGCAAGGCUAAA
RNAcentral lists this ribosomal RNA (376 nucleotides) under uncultured bacterium. RNAcentral's name for it is "bacterial SSU rRNA". It matches the Rfam family "Bacterial small subunit ribosomal RNA", at positions 524 to 898 of the family's 1533-position model. The record is from RNAcentral.